AAUGUGGUUAGGAAUGUGGUUAGGAAUGUGGUUAGGUGUUAGGAAUGUGGUUAGGCGUUAGGAAUGUGGUUAGGCGUUAGGAAUGUGGUUAGGCGUUAGGAAUGUGGUUAGGCGUUAGGAAUGUGGUUAGGCGUUAGGAAUGUGGUUAGGAAUGUGGUUAGGCGUUAGGAAUGUGGUUAGGCGUUAGGAAUGUGGUUAGGCGUUAGGAAUGUGGUUAGGCGUUAGGAAUGUGGUUAGGAAUGUGGUUAGGCGUUAGGAAUGUGGUUAGGCGUUAGGAAUGUGGUUAGGAAUGUGGUUAGGAAUGUGGUUAGGCGUUAGGAAUGUGGUUAGGCGUUAGGAAUGUGGUUAGGCGUUAGGAAUGUGGUUAGGCGUUAGGAAUGUGGUUAUGAAUGUGGUUAGGUGUUAGGAAUGUGGUUAGGAAUGUGGUUAGGUGUUAGGAAUGUGGUUAGGUGUUAGGAAUGUGGUUAGGAAUGUGGUUAGGAAUGUGGUUAGGAAUGUGGUUAGGAAUGUGGUUAGGUGUUAGGAAUGUGGUUAGGAAUGUGGUUAGGAAUGUGGUUAGGAAUGUGGUUAGGUGUUAGGAAUGUGGUUAGGUGUUAGGAAUGUGGUUAGGAGUUAGGAAUGUGGUUAGGCGUUAGGAAUGUGGUUAGGCGUUAGGAAUGUGGUUAGGUGUUAGGAAUGUGGUUAGGUGUUAGGAAUGUGGUUAGGCGUUAGGAAUGUGGUUAGGAAUGUGGUUAGGCGUUAGGAAUGUGGUUAGGCGUUAGGAAUGUGGUUAGGUGUUAGGAAUGUGGUUAGGCGUUAGGAAUGUGGUUAGGAAUGUGGUUAGGUGUUAGGAAUGUGGUUAGGCGUUAGGAAUGUGGUUAGGCGUUAGGAAUGUGGUUAGGCGUUAGGAAUGUGGUUAGGCGUUAGGAAUGUGGUUAGGAAUGUGGUUAGGCGUUAGGAAUGUGGUUAGGUGUUAGGAAUGUGGUUAGGAAUGUGGUUAGGUGUUA
Molecule: long non-coding RNA, 986 nt
Organism: Salvelinus fontinalis (brook trout)
Lineage: Eukaryota; Metazoa; Chordata; Actinopteri; Salmoniformes; Salmonidae
Exons: 4
Source: RefSeq, a predicted model, not a curated record